UUCACCUUAGCCCUUCUGCCAUGAUUGUAAGCUUCCUAAGCCUCCCCAGCAAUGCCUCCUCUACAGCCUGUGGAACUGCUGAUAGGCAGAAGUGACGUGCCUUGUGUCAGAUGAGACUUUGGACUUGGACUUUUGAGUUAAUGCUGGAAUGAGUUAAGACUUUGGGGGACCAUUGGGAAGGCAUGAUUGUGUUUUAAAAUGUGAGAAGGACAUGAGAUUUGGGAAGGGGCAGUGGUAGAACGAUUUGGUUUGGCUUUGUGUCCCCACCCAAAUCUCACGUUGAGUUGUAAUCCCUAGUGUUGGAGGUGGGGCGUGGUGGGAAGUGAUUGGAUCAUGGGGUGAUUUCUAGUGGUUUAGCAUCAUUCCCCUAGUGCUGUCUUAUGAUAGAAUUCUCACAAGAUCUGGUUGCUUAAAAGUGUAUGACACUUUCCCCUUCUCUCUCUCUUUCUCUCUUUCUCUCUCUCCUGCCACCAUGUGAAGACAUGCUUGCUUCCCCUUUGUCCUUCUGCCAUGAUUGUGAGUUUCCUGAGGCCUCCCCAACCAUGCAUCCUGCACAGCUUGUGGAACUCUGCUACCUGUGAGGAUUCUUUGCAGCAUCCAAGCAACACCUCUUCCUGUUCAAACCCAGGAGCCAUCUCUUCACGCAUUUUAUUGUCCAGUGUGCUGUUUUUGGUUAACUGUGUCUCUCACCAAGAAGAAAACAGCAGCAGUGUUGUAAUUAAUCACAAGGCAGCUCUUCAGAAC
This 744-nucleotide long non-coding RNA is filed under the name Homo sapiens (human). RNAcentral describes it as "HSALNT0071356". Lineage: Eukaryota; Metazoa; Chordata; Mammalia; Primates; Hominidae. The record is from RNAcentral.